This 563-nucleotide ribosomal RNA is filed under the name Salmonella enterica. Its description in RNAcentral is "partial 23S ribosomal RNA". It matches the Rfam family "Bacterial large subunit ribosomal RNA", at positions 711 to 1248 of the family's 2925-position model. The record is from RNAcentral. Lineage: Bacteria; Pseudomonadati; Pseudomonadota; Gammaproteobacteria; Enterobacterales; Enterobacteriaceae. RNAcentral also lists the same sequence under 1 other name.
AGACCCGAAACCCGGUGAUCUAGCCAUGGGCAGGUUGAAGGUUGGGUAACACUAACUGGAGGACCGAACCGACUAAUGUUGAAAAAUUAGCGGAUGACCUGUGGCUGGGGGUGAAAGGCCAAUCAAACCGGGAGAUAGCUGGUUCUCCCCGAAAGCUAUUUAGGUAGCGCCUCGUGAAUUCAUCUCCGGGGGUAGAGCACUGUUUCGGCUAGGGGGCCAUCCCGGCUUACCAACCCGAUGCAAACUGCGAAUACCGGAGAAUGUUAUCACGGGAGACACACGGCGGGUGCUAACGUCCGUCGUGAAGAGGGAAACAACCCAGACCGCCAGCUAAGGUCCCAAAGUCAUGGUUAAGUGGGAAACGAUGUGGGAAGGCCCAGACAGCCAGGAUGUUGGCUUAGAAGCAGCCAUCAUUUAAAGAAAGCGUAAUAGCUCACUGGUCGAGUCGGCCUGCGCGGAAGAUGUAACGGGGCUAAACCAUGCACCGAAGCUGCGGCAGCGAACGUAUCACCCAAGACAACUUUACGGAGUUGACGAUUGACGGAGCGAAGCGACGUCAAAGC